CAGCCGCCGCGGGAAUACGGAGGGUGCAAGCGUUAUCCGGAUUUAUUGGGUUUAAAGGGUCCGUAGGCGGAUCUGUAAGUCAGUGGUGAAAUCUCACAGCUUAACUGUGAAACUGCCAUUGAUACUGCAGGUCUUGAGUAAAUUUGAAGUGGCUGGAAUAAGUAGUGUAGCGGUGAAAUGCAUAGAUAUUACUUAGAACACCAAUUGCGAAGGCAGGUCACUAAGAUUUAACUGACGCUGAUGGACGAAAGCGUGGGGAGCGAACAGGAUUAGAUACCCCUGUAGUCCCUGUCUCUUAUAA
RNAcentral lists this ribosomal RNA (301 nucleotides) under uncultured bacterium. RNAcentral's name for it is "partial 16S ribosomal RNA". It matches the Rfam family "Bacterial small subunit ribosomal RNA", at positions 509 to 809 of the family's 1533-position model. The record is from RNAcentral.